AUCACUCCGCGGCCUGUUUGGCUUAGGUUGAGUGUGGUGUCUGCUCCUGUCAGUGUGAUAUCUGGUACAGCCUUAGUUUGAGGCUGUGAUAGGAAGUGGUAUUUUGGUACAAGAGGAUGGGGUAUGGACCUUGCUAUAUCCACUCCAUGCAGUCAUCUGGUGUUGCCCCCCUGGGGGUAACUAUCAGU
Cynocephalus volans (Philippine flying lemur) is the source of this 188-nucleotide small nuclear RNA. RefSeq annotates it as U2 spliceosomal RNA. The record is from RefSeq and is a predicted model, not a curated record. NCBI's taxonomy places the organism in Eukaryota, Metazoa, Chordata, Mammalia, Dermoptera, Cynocephalidae. The transcript has a single exon.